Molecule: ribosomal RNA, 402 nt
Filed under: uncultured soil bacterium
Lineage: Bacteria
Description: bacterial SSU rRNA
Rfam family: Bacterial small subunit ribosomal RNA
Source: RNAcentral
AGAACGAACGCUGGCGGCAUGCCUAAUACAUGCAAGUCGAACGAAUGCCCUUUGGGGUGUUAGUGGCGCACGGGUGCGUAACGCGUGGGAAUCUGCCCUUGGGUUCGGAAUAACAGUUGGAAACGACUGCUAAUACCGGAUGAUGACGUAAGUCCAAAGAUUUAUCGCCCAGGGAUGAGCCCGCGUAGGAUUAGCUAGUGGUGGGUAAAGCCUACAAGGCGACGAUCCUUAGCUGGUCUGAGAGGAUGAUCAGCCACACUGGGACUGAGACACGGCCCAGACUCCGUACGGGAGGCAGCGAGUAGGGAAUACUUGGACAAUGGGCGAAAGCUGAUCAGCAAUGCGCGUGAGUGAUAGAAGGCCGUUAGGUUAGUAAAGCUUACGUUUACCGAGAUAGAUAAG